This 253-nucleotide ribosomal RNA is filed under the name uncultured bacterium. Its description in RNAcentral is "partial 16S ribosomal RNA". It matches the Rfam family "Bacterial small subunit ribosomal RNA", at positions 524 to 776 of the family's 1533-position model. The record is from RNAcentral.
UACAGAGGGUGCAAGCGUUGUUCGGAAUUAUUGGGCGUAAAGCGCGUGUAGGCGGCUUGGUAAGUCGGGUGUGAAAUCCCUCAGCUCAACUGAGGAAGUGCGCCCGAAACUACUUUGCUUGAGUGCCGGAGAGGAUGGCGGAAUUCCCCAAGUAGGGGUGAAAUGCGCAGAUAUCAGGAAGAACACCAAUGGCGAAAGCAGCUUUCUGGGACGGUACUGACGCUGAGACGCGAAAGCGUGGGGAGCGAACAGG